Non-coding RNA from Cordylochernes scorpioides, 115 nucleotides. The record is from the annotation of a GenBank genome assembly. NCBI's taxonomy places the organism in Eukaryota, Metazoa, Arthropoda, Arachnida, Pseudoscorpiones, Chernetidae.
ACGGCCAUACCACAGUGAAAACACCGGUUCUCUUCCAAAUACCGAAGUUAAGCAAUGUCAGGCCCGGUCAGUACUUGGGAGGGUGACCAUCUGGGAACACCCGGGUGUAGCUGUU